Molecule: transfer RNA, 91 nt
Filed under: Solimonas fluminis
Lineage: Bacteria; Pseudomonadati; Pseudomonadota; Gammaproteobacteria; Nevskiales; Nevskiaceae
Description: tRNA-Ser
Rfam family: Proteobacterial sRNA sX4
Source: RNAcentral
GGAGAGGUGGCAGAGUGGUUUAAUGUACCUGACUCGAAAUCAGGCGUACGUUUAUAGCGUACCGGGGGUUCGAAUCCCUCCCUCUCCGCCA